Molecule: ribosomal RNA, 229 nt
Filed under: uncultured bacterium
Lineage: Bacteria
Description: partial 16S ribosomal RNA
Rfam family: Bacterial small subunit ribosomal RNA
Source: RNAcentral
UGUGUAGGCGGGACUGUAAGUCAGAGGUGAAAUCCCACGGCUCAACCGUGGAACUGCCUUUGAUACUGCAGUUCUUGAGUCUCGGAGGGGUAGCUGGAAUUCGUGGUGUAGCGGUGAAAUGCGUAGAUAUCACGAGGAACACCAGAGGCGUAGGCGGGCUACUGGACGAGAUCUGACGCUGAGGCACGAAAGCGUGGGGAGCAAACAGGAUUAGAUACCCUGGUAGUCC